This 315-nucleotide long non-coding RNA is filed under the name Nicotiana benthamiana. RNAcentral's name for it is "long non-coding RNA (NBEN_LNC028809)". Lineage: Eukaryota; Viridiplantae; Streptophyta; Magnoliopsida; Solanales; Solanaceae. The record is from RNAcentral.
UCCGAAGUUUUCAAAAUAUAAAAGAUAAUCGAUUAUCCUUAUAGCAUAAUCGAUUAUGCAAAUGACCGUUGCCAAAGUAUAUUGAAACUCUGAAAGAUAAUCGAUUAUACACAAUCUGAUAAUCGAUUAUGCUAAGUAAAAUCUGCAUAUGAUUUUUUGAACGUUUCCAGGUAAUCGAUUAUACACAAUCUGAUAAUCGAUUAUGCUAUGUAAAAUCUGAAUAUGAUUGUUUGAACGUUGUCAGGUAAUCGAUUAUACGAUUUGGAUAAUCGAUUAUUCUGCUUAAAAUCUGGGAAUGAUUUUUGAACGAUUGGA